AUUGAACGCUGGCGGCAGGCCUAACACAUGCAAGUCGAGCGAGCGGCGGACGGGUGAGUAAUGUCUGGGAACCUGCCUGAUGGAGGGGGAUCACUACUGGAAACGGUAGCUAAUAACGCAUACCAUCAGAUGUGCCCAGAUGGGAUUAACUGGUAGGUGGGGUAACGGCUCACCUAGGCGACGAUCCCUAGCUGGUCUGAGAGGAUGACCAGCCACACUGGAACUGAGACACGGCACAGACUCCAUAGGGAGGCAGCAGUGGGGAAUAUUGCACAAUGGGCUCAAGCCUGAUGCAGCCAUGCCGCGUGUGUGAAGAAGGCUUUCGGGUUGUAAAGCACUUUCAGCGGGGAGGCGUUACCCGCAGAAGAAGCACCGGCUAACUCCGUGCCAGCAGCCGCGGUAAUAC
Molecule: ribosomal RNA, 406 nt
Filed under: uncultured bacterium
Lineage: Bacteria
Description: partial 16S ribosomal RNA
Rfam family: Bacterial small subunit ribosomal RNA
Source: RNAcentral